AACUAGCUGGAGAGAGUGAGGGGAGGCAACUCCAGGAAGGAAAGGAUUUCAUUGAAUCUUCAGCUGGAGUCAAUCUAGAUUCCACUGCCCAGGCUAACAGUGUGUGUCAGUGGGAGAACAUGAUGAGACUUCUCUGAAAUAGCAAGCACACAGAGAGAAGAUCUAACAAAACAGAGUAACAGAGGCCAAGGAAAACUGAAAUAGAGAAGAGAGGAUGUACAGGACCACACUCAAUGAGACCUCCCCACGCCCUUCCUGGGCAUGGUCAUGUAUCCCGUAGGAAUGAGAAUAGGGACAGUAUUCUGAGCAAAAGGCAAUCAUCUCAGAAGCUCAUUUCCUGCUGCUGUCACCCCAAAUCCGGUGGGCAGUAAUGACACGUCGAAGGCAGAAAAUGGGAUUAUGAUGAACAGAGUGAAUGCUCUUGAAAAAUGGGCAACAUUAAAGAUUUGCAGACACUUUCUCCUCUUCUCCCCUUGCAGGCUUCUAUAUAAAUGCAUUUCAUUCCCAUCACAUCCGAGUUACAGUUCUGCAGGCGCACAGAGAAGGAAUCUAAUUCAUAUAUAGCUCAAACAAGCAAAAAGGAGCCAAGGACAGGUGAUCUAUUCUGAAAGAAUAGAUAUGUGAUCUGAUAUAUCUUUCUCUCUGUCUCUCUCUCUGCAGGGCACUAUGCAAUUUAAAAGAAAAGUGAUUCCCCCCCCCACCCCGCCUUCAGGACUAAAAUAAAAAGAUCCAUGGCAUGCUUAUCCUUUCCCAAGCAGGAGAAAGUUCAGGCCCGCAUUUCGGGGAAAGAUGCCUUUGGAAUAAUAUGUUUGUUUACAAAUAUAUAGGUUGAGAAGGCACUUCAAUAGCACAUAAGCAAGUGUAUUAAAAGGCCAAGCUAGUCCCGUCUCCCAAGGGACUACCCCUGCACCUGGAAAUCUAAAAUUAUUUCUUCUGAAUCAAAUCUGUCCUGACUUGUAAACACUUUCCAGAAUCAGCCUGAGCAUGUUUGUCGGUGGCUGUGACUCAAAGGCACAUUCCUGAAUUACUUCAAACAAAGAGCAUCCAACUUGUCCAUUAGUGUCCCUUGUCCUCCAUCAACGGUUAGGCAACAUACCAAAGCUUAGAGGGAGACUUGGGACACAAUAGGACAAUAUGACAUAUCCCAUCUAUAGCACUGAGAUGACGUUAGUAAAGCAAUCUUAAUUCACAGCUGUAUCAAUACUUUUCUGUAACCACUACCAUACCGUGUGCACUCAGUGUGCAUUUUUCAAGCCCAGUAGGGUGUGUUGCACUCAAUAAUGGGAAUGUUCAGGUCUGCCAUCACAAUCCUAUGGAUUGGUUUAAUAAAGAUGCAUCUGCACAAGUUGUGACUUGUACUGCUAAGGCUCAUCCUCUGUGCCUGGGAAGGAUAGUAAAGUUGGAGAUGUGAUUGAGACAAAUAGGGCUGUUGCUGGACUAGAAGCACUUUGAUCCAUACAUAUGAUG
Molecule: long non-coding RNA, 1467 nt
Organism: Hemicordylus capensis (graceful crag lizard)
Lineage: Eukaryota; Metazoa; Chordata; Lepidosauria; Squamata; Cordylidae
Exons: 4
Source: RefSeq, a predicted model, not a curated record